GAUGAACGCUAGCUACAGGCUUAACACAUGCAAGUCGAGGGGCAGCGGUAUCGAAAGCUUGCUUUCGGUAGCCGGCGACCGGCGCACGGGUGAGUAACGCGUAUCGAACCUGCCUCAUACUCGGGAAUAGCCUUGCGAAAGUAAGAUUAAUGCCCGGUGUUUUCAGAGUCCCGCAUGAGGCUUUGAACAAAGAUUUAUCGGUAUGAGAUGGCGAUGCGUCCCAUUAGCUUGUUGGCGGGGUAACGGCCCACCAAGGCAUCGAUGGGUAGGGGUUCUGAGAGGAAGGUCCCCCACAUUGGAACUGAGACACGGUCCAAACUCCUACGGGAGGCAGCAGUGAGGAAUAUUGGUCAAUGGGCGGAAGCCUGAACCAGCCAAGUAGCGUGCAGGAAGACGGCCCUCCGGGUUGUAAACUGCUUUUAGUUGGGAAUAAAACGGGGCUCGUGAGCCCCCUUGCAUGUACCAUCAGAAAAAGAACCGGCUAAUUCCGUG
Molecule: ribosomal RNA, 492 nt
Filed under: uncultured bacterium
Lineage: Bacteria
Description: partial 16S ribosomal RNA
Rfam family: Bacterial small subunit ribosomal RNA
Source: RNAcentral